GCCUAAAGCAGCCGUAGCCGCUUUCACAGGAGGGUUCCGUUAAAUCCACCUGCUUAACAGAUGGCCUUUGGAGGGGAUACUAUAGAGCUAGGAGGCGGGAGAGGCAAGCGGUACUCGAUGGGUAGGGGUAAAAUCCGUUGAUCCAUUGAAGACCGCCAGUGGCGAAGGCGGCUUGCCAGAACGCGCUCGACGGUGAGGGAUGAAAGCUGGGGGAGCAAACCGGAUUAGAUACCCGGGUAGUCCCAGCUGUAAACGAUGCAGACUCGGUGAUGAAUUGGCUUUAUGCCUAUUCAGUGCCGCAGGGAAGCCGUUAAGUUUGCCGCCUGGGGAGUACGGCCGCAAGACUGAAACUUAAAGGAAUUGUUGGGGGAGCACCACAAGGGGUGAAGCCUGCGGUUCAAUUGGAGUCAACGCCGGGAAUCUUACCGGGGGCGACAGCAGGGUGAAGGUCAAGCUGAAGACUUUACUAGACAAGCUGAGAGGAGGUGCAUGGCCGUCGCCAGCUCGUGCCGUGAGGUGUCCUGUUAAGUCAGGUAACGAGCGAGACCCCUGCUUCUAGUUGCUACUUUUAUUCUUCGGAGUAGAAGGGCUAAUUAGAAGGACUGCCGCCGCUAAGGCGGAGGAAGGAGGGGGCUACGGCAGGUCCGCAUGCCCCUA
Molecule: ribosomal RNA, 657 nt
Filed under: uncultured crenarchaeote
Lineage: Archaea; Thermoproteati; Thermoproteota
Description: bacterial SSU rRNA
Rfam family: Archaeal small subunit ribosomal RNA
Source: RNAcentral